This 279-nucleotide ribosomal RNA is filed under the name uncultured Glomus. Its description in RNAcentral is "partial 18S small subunit ribosomal RNA". It matches the Rfam family "Eukaryotic small subunit ribosomal RNA", at positions 591 to 874 of the family's 1831-position model. Lineage: Eukaryota; Fungi; Glomeromycota; Glomeromycetes; Glomerales; Glomeraceae. The record is from RNAcentral.
CCAAUAGCGUAUAUUAAAGUUGUUGCAGUUAAAAAGCUCGUAGUUGAAUUUCGGGAUCAAUAUAUCGGUCGUGCCAUCGGUACGUACUGGUAUCAUUGGUUUCUCCUUUCUGACGAACCAUGAUGUCAUUAAUUUGGUGUCAUGGGAAGUUAGGACUGUUACUUUGAAAAAAUUAGAGUGUUUAAGGCAGGCUUUAGCUUGAAUACAUUAGCAUGGAAUACUGAAAUAGGACGUUCGAACCUAUUUUGUUGGUUUCUAGGAUCAACGUAAUGAUUAAUA